CGAGGAAAAGAAAUCAACCGAGAUUCCCCCAGUAGCGGCGAGCGAACGGGGAGCAGCCCAGAGUCUGAAUCAGCUUGUGUGUUAGUGGAACGGUCUGGAAAGUCCGACGGUACAGGGUGAUAGUCCCGUACACCAAAAUGCACAGGUUGUGAACUCGAAGAGUAGGGCGGGACACGUGGUAUCCUGUCUGAAUAUGGGGGGACCAUCCUCCAAGGCUAAAUACUCCUGACUGACCGAUAGUGAACCAGUACCGUGAGGGAAAGGCGAAAAGAACCCCGGCGAGGGGAGUGAAAAAGAACCUGAAACCGUGUACGUACAAGCAGUGGGAGCCUCUUUAUGGGGUGACUGCGUACCUUUUGUAUAAUGGGUCAGCGACUUAUAUUCUGUAGCAAGGUUAACCGUAUAGGGGAGCCGAAGGGAAACCGAGUCUUAACUGGGCGUUAAGUUGCAGGGUAUAGACCCGAAACCCGGUGAUCUAGCCAUGGGCAGGUUGAAGGUUGGGUAACACUAACUGGAGGACCGAACCGACUAAUGUUGAAAAAUUAGCGGAUGACUUGUGGCUGGGGGUGAAAGGCCAAUCAAACCGGGAGAUAGCUGGUUCUCCCCGAAAGCUAUUUAGGUAGCGCCUCGUGAAUUCAUCUUCGGGGGUAGAGCACUGUUUCGGCUAGGGGGUCAUCCCGACUUACCAACCCGAUGCAAACUGCGAAUACCGAAGAAUGUUAUCACGGGAGACACACGGCGGGUGCUAACGUCCGUCGUGAAGAGGGAAACAACCCAGACCGCCAGCUAAGGUCCCAAAGUCAUGGUUAAGUGGGAAACGAUGUGGGAAGGCACAGACAGCCAGGAUGUUGGCUUAGAAGCAGCCAUCAUUUAAAGAAAGCGUAAUAGCUCACUGGUCGAGUCGGCCUGCGCGGAAGAUGUAACGGGGCUAAACCAUGCACCGAAGCUGCGGCAGCGACACUA
Molecule: ribosomal RNA, 963 nt
Filed under: Citrobacter freundii
Lineage: Bacteria; Pseudomonadati; Pseudomonadota; Gammaproteobacteria; Enterobacterales; Enterobacteriaceae
Description: bacterial LSU rRNA
Rfam family: Bacterial large subunit ribosomal RNA
Source: RNAcentral